GUCGGCAUAGCUCAGCUGUAUAGAGCAUCUGAUUCCUAAUCGGAAGGUCCUGGGUUAGAAUCCCAGUGCUGACACCA
Molecule: transfer RNA, 77 nt
Filed under: Arcobacter sp.
Lineage: Bacteria; Pseudomonadati; Campylobacterota; Epsilonproteobacteria; Campylobacterales; Arcobacteraceae
Description: tRNA-Arg
Rfam family: tRNA
About the family: Transfer RNA (tRNA) molecules are approximately 80 nucleotides in length.
Source: RNAcentral